RNAcentral lists this ribosomal RNA (1521 nucleotides) under human gut metagenome. RNAcentral describes it as "bacterial LSU rRNA". It matches the Rfam family "Bacterial large subunit ribosomal RNA", at positions 1391 to 2925 of the family's 2925-position model. The record is from RNAcentral.
CUAAGCCGAGGCCGAAAGGCGUAGGUGAUGGACAACAGGUUGAUAUUCCUGUACCGCCAAUAAGCGUUUGAGAGAUGGAGUGACACAGUAGGAUAAGCUAACCGUACUGUUGGUUAUGUACGGCUAAGCAUUGAGGCAGUCUAAAUAGGCAAAUCCGUUUAGACAAUGCUAGGAUGUGAUGGGGAAGCCCUUCGGGGCGAAGUAGCUGAUUUCACACUGUCAAGAAAAGCUUCUAUCGAGUUUAAAGGCGCCCGUACCGUAAACCGACACAGGUGGGUGAGGAGAGUAUCCUAAGGCCAGCGAGAGAACUAUUGUUAAGGAACUCGGCAAAAUGACCCCGUAACUUAGGGAGAAGGGGUGCCUGUCUAUGACAGGCCGCAGAGAAUAGGCCCAAGCGACUGUUUACCAAAAACACAGGUUUCUGCUAAGUCGCAAGACGAUGUAUAGGAGCUGACGCCUGCCCGGUGCUGGAAGGUUAAGGGGAUCUGUUAGAGCAAUCGAAGCAGUGAACUUAAGCCCCAGUAAACGGCGGCCGUAACUAUAACGGUCCUAAGGUAGCGAAAUUCCUUGUCGGGUAAGUUCCGACCCGCACGAAAGGCGUAACGAUUUGGGCACUGUCUCAACAAUAGACUCGGUGAAAUUGUAAUCCCGGUGAAGAUGCCGGGUACCUGCGACAGGACGGAAAGACCCCAUGGAGCUUUACUGUAGCUUGACGUUGGGUCUUGGUACUACAUGUACAGGAUAGGUGGGAGACUAUGAAGCAUGGACGCCAGUCUGUGUGGAGUCAUCCUUGGGAUACCACCCUUGUAGUACUGGGAUCCUAACCAUAGGCCUUGAAUCAGGUCUUGGAACACCGUCAGGUGGGCAGUUUGACUGGGGCGGUCGCCUCCUAAAAAGUAACGGAGGCGCUCAAAGGUUUCCUCAGCACGGUCGGAAAUCGUGCGAAGAGUGUAAAGGCAAAAGGAAGCUUGAUUGCAAGACAUACAGGUCGAGCAAGGACGAAAGUCGGACUUAGUGAUCCGGUGGUACCGCAUGGAAGGGCCAUCGCUCAACGGAUAAAAGCUACCCUGGGGAUAACAGGCUUAUCUCCCCCAAGAGUCCACAUCGACGGGGAGGUUUGGCACCUCGAUGUCGGCUCAUCACAUCCUGGGGCUGUAGUAGGUCCCAAGGGUUGGGCUGUUCGCCCAUUAAAGUGGUACGCGAGCUGGGUUCAGAACGUCGUGAGACAGUUCGGUCCCUAUCCGUCGCAGGCGUAGGAAAUUUGAGAAGACCUGUCCUUAGUACGAGAGGACCGGGAUGGACGUACCUCUGGUGUACCAGUUGUUCUGCCAAGGGCAUGGCUGGGUAGCUAUGUACGGAAUGGAUAAGCGCUGAAAGCAUCUAAGCGCGAAGCCAACUUCAAGAUAAGAUUUCCCACCGUAAGGGUAAGACCCCAGGAAGACUACCUGGUUGAUAGGUCGAAGGUGUAAGUGCAGUAAUGUAUUUAGCUUAUCGAUACUAAUAGGUCGAGGACUUGACCAA